Long non-coding RNA from Aegilops tauschii subsp. strangulata, 2515 nucleotides. RefSeq lists it as uncharacterized. The record is from RefSeq and is a predicted model, not a curated record. NCBI's taxonomy places the organism in Eukaryota, Viridiplantae, Streptophyta, Magnoliopsida, Poales, Poaceae.
UAUACCUAUACCUAUACCUACCUACCUACCUAUACUAAUUACAGACUUCCUGGAAAUUACAACAUUAAUUAGUAAAUUAGAGCCGUUAAUCCGGUGGGUCCGAAUUAUAACGGUGCAGAUUAGCUAAGAAUUACCACAUUAAUCCAUAAAAGGGUCACCUUUUUUUGUUAAAAAAAAGGCUCACGAGAUCAUAUUCCACCAGCCCUUCCUCAUUCUUUCUCUCCACGCAAAGUGAAAAUAUUCCACCGUCCCUUUGUCUCACCCAUGAAAAAAAACUAUUCCCCUAUGCCUUCCUCUCCGUAAUUUCUCUCUCCCCCAUGGAAGUAUUCCAUCCAUCGUCCCUUCCUCUCUCUCCCCCGUUGAAACUAAAGCUAUUGCUAACUCAAACUAAUGCAAGCAAGUUGGGCCAAGGAUCUGCCGUGGUGAAGGGGUUACUGCCUUAAAUUUGUUUUCUUCAUCUAGAUCUGGUUCGUAUUGGUUAAAAUUUGUUUUACUUUUUUUUUCUUGCCGGUUUACCAUCCUAUGUUUUCUUCUGGAUUCUAAUUCAGCUAUUUUUAGUCCUGUUGUUUGAUUGUGUUGUGCAGGAAUUCACCUAUUUAGGUUUUCUUCACUGGAUUUAGAUUGAACCCUGAAUCUUCUCCCGUAAUUUUUUUGGAUACCUCAUGAAGAUCGAUUCAGAGCCUAGCUAUGACCAUCAGGCGAGCCUAUAAUUAGAACUAUCAAACAUUAACUUCAAAAGAGCCUCAAGUUGGUUGUUUUUGUACCCAUGCGUGUGAUCCAUAGGAGCACCCCACAACAGGACAUGGAGCAGGCCAUUUCUAGCGGACUCCCCAGUAGAGCAUCUUCUGAGAAGGGCCACGAUAUUUGAUGGGCAGUGAACUCGAUUUUCAUCAGAGAAGAAGCAAGUCUGUAUUUUUGUCAGAGUCUCAGGGGGAAGAAGUCUACAGAGUACACAAUUCUUACAUAACUGAUUUGGGGAAUUUCCAUGUUACACAUGGUCAUCCACAGAUGUAGUUGUUGAGCAACUAUCUUAUCAUUCAAUCAUAUAAGGAACUCAGCCUCCCAAUUGUCUAUUUCAUUAGUCAAGGGACCAGUACGGUUGUGCUAAUGGAGGUAAGUCAAAAUACUAUAUUCAACCUUCGGUACCUCCAUGGCAAAAGAAGGCUAUAGAGAAGAGGCAGCAGAACGGGCCUGCUUAGCUAGCUUUAAGUUUUGUUCUGCAUCAUUAAGUUUUAAAAGAUUACCGAUUUACAACUAUGUUGACUUGAUAGCUACUAGCAUAUACGGGUCAUUGCUCCAUGUUUUCAAACAUGCAAGUGGCAUGUAUUCCAACAAUUAUCUGCAUAUGUAUGAAUCAAGGUAGGGAUGUGAUCUUGAAAGUAGUGGAAUACAGUAGAAGUUACCACAUUAUCUUGAAUAUCUUGGUUCUCUUGGUAGGAGCACCUGACAGUGAUGCAUGCCUUGCUCGAAUGUCCACAAAAUCAAGUUAAUGCAAUUGAUUACCCUGAGUAGAAUGAUUGAAUUGUUUCCUUCUAUGUAGAAGCUUAUAUUUAAUUAUUUUGAAUAAAUAAGAAAUUAUAUGAUUAUCAUGUUCUUUUAAGUCGGGGGUGCUCCGUUUAAAUCUAAGAGAUGAUAAUAUAGUGUUGUGUUAACUGAAGAAUGACUUAAUUUUUUGACCGGCAAAGUGUUGGUCGUGACUCAAUGGCAGCCAUUGAGUUGAUAAUUUAAUUUUACUACAAAGAUUUUUAUGAUGCAGCUACUUAUAAUUUUGUCUGUAUUUAAUUCUAUGGCUACGACUAUGUAUAUAUAACAAUGAGUACUGUAUAUGCUAUAAUUAUCAGUAAUUUUGUUUCGUAUGUAUCAUCAAUUCAUUUUUCUCAACUACUCUUUGAAACACAACUAUUCUUCCAAUCUUAUACUCCACUGGGAUGGAUGCGUGACGUGUGCUCAUCCGGCCAGAGGGAUCGACCAUGGCUAGCUUCUCCGAAUGCGUUCCACUCACGAAUGAACUUUGCUGCGUGUUCGUGUGUCAAAUCCCCUUUUUCGUGGAAUUGAGUUGAUGAGUUGGUCAACUAUGUUUUGUUCUUCUCUGGGAAUUGUAGGGUCUAGGAUUUGUAGGCAAACAUAGGAUGUGUUUGUGUUAGACAUGAAUUCAUAUGCAGAGUUGGUCAUAUGUGAUGUCGUUAGUUCUGUGAGAACGAACAGGUGUAGCUGUACUAUUGUGAUGAAAUACAUAAUUCUGUAGUCAAUGUUGGGAAUGACAUUCGCAGUCAGUAUCUAUAAUCCUAAACCUGAACAAUAGGUAUGGGAUCUCUGGAGUGUUCCGGUGGUGAAAUCUGCAGCAUGUACUCUUCAGUAAAUCAAAUUAUCCAUGUAUAAUUCCAUCUAAACACAAUUCUGUCACCUCUGAUUUUGGUUGAGGUCCAUAUACAACAGUCAUACAUUUGUAAAUGUCUGAAGUUCUGAACUAAAGAUAUGCUUGAUGUGAAAGGAAACCGAGAUUCUUUCUAUGGUA